GCGAACGGGUGAGUAAUAUAUCGGAACGUACCCAGAAGUGGGGGAUAACGUAGCGAAAGUUGCGCUAAUACCGCAUACGAUCUACGGAUGAAAGUGGGGGACCUUCGGGCCUCAUGCUUUUGGAGCGGCCGAUAUCUGAUUAGCUAGUUGGUGGGGUAAAGGCUCACCAAGGCGACGAUCAGUAGCUGGUCUGAGAGGACGACCAGCCACACUGGAACUGAGACACGGUCCAGACUCCUACGGGAGGCAGCAGUGGGGAAUUUUGGACAAUGGGCGCAAGCCUGAUCCAGCAAUGCCGCGUGAGUGAAGAAGGCCUUCGGGUUGUAAAGCUCUUUUGUCAGGGAAGAAACGGCCGGGGCUAAUAUCCCCGGCUAAUGACGGUACCUGAAGAAUAAGCACCGGCUAACUACGUGCCAGCAGCCGCGGUAAUGCGUAGGGUGCAAGCGUUAAUCGGAAUUACUGGGCGUAAAGCGUGCGCAGGCGGUUUUGUAAGUCUGACGUGAAAGCCCCGGGCUCAACCUGGGAAUUGCGUUGGAGACUGCAAGGCUUGAAUCUGGCAGAGGGGGGUAGAAUUCCACGUGUAGCAGUGAAAUGCGUAGAGAUGUGGAGGAACACCGAUGGCGAAGGCAGCCCCCUGGGUCAAGAUUGACGCUCAUGCACGAAAGCGUGGGGAGCAAACA
Molecule: ribosomal RNA, 680 nt
Filed under: uncultured beta proteobacterium
Lineage: Bacteria; Pseudomonadati; Pseudomonadota; Betaproteobacteria
Description: bacterial SSU rRNA
Rfam family: Bacterial small subunit ribosomal RNA
Source: RNAcentral